GAUGAACGCUGGCGGCGUGCCUAAUACAUGCAAGUCGAGCGAACAGAUGAGGAGCUUGCUCCUCUGACGUUAGCGGCGGACGGGUGAGUAACACGUGGAUAACCUACCUAUAAGACUGGGAUAACUUCGGGAAACCGGCGCUAAUACCGGAUAAUAUCUUGAACCGCAUGGUUCAAUAGUGAAAGACGGUUUUGCUGUCACUUAUAGAUGGAUCCGCGCCGCAUUAGCUAGUUGGUAAGGUAACGGCUUACCAAGGCAACGAUGCGUAGCCGACCUGAGAGGGUGAACGACCACACUGGAACUGAGACACGGUCCAGACUCCUACGGGAGGCAGCAGUAGGGAAUCUUCCGCAAUGGGGGAAAGCCUGACGGAGCAACGCCGCGGGAGUGAUGAAGGUCUUCGGAUCGUAAAACUCUGUUAUUAGGGAAGAACAAAUGUGUAAGUAACUAUGCACGUCUUGACGGUACCUAAUCAGAAAGCCACGGCUAACUACGUG
This 497-nucleotide ribosomal RNA is filed under the name uncultured bacterium. RNAcentral describes it as "partial 16S ribosomal RNA". It matches the Rfam family "Bacterial small subunit ribosomal RNA", at positions 28 to 507 of the family's 1533-position model. The record is from RNAcentral.